AGUGAACGCUGGCGGUAGGCCUAACACAUGCGAGUCGAACGGCAGCACAGUAAGAGCUUGCUCUUACGGGUGGCGAGUGGCGGACGGGUGAGGAAUACAUCGGAAUCUACUUUUUCGUGGGGGAUAACGUAGGGAAGCUUACGCUAAUACCGCAUACGACCUACGGGUGAAAGCAGGGGAUCUUCGGACCUUGCGCGAUUGAAUGAGCCGAUGUCGGAUUAGCUAGUUGGCGGGGUAAAGGCCCACCAAGGCGACGAUCCGUAGCUGGUCUGAGAGGAUGAUCAGCCACACUGGAACUGAGACACGGUCCAGACUCCUACGGGAGGCAGCAGUGGGGAAUAUUGGACAAUGGGCGCAAGCCUGAUCCAGCCAUACCGCGUGGGUGAAGAAGGCCUUCGGGUUGUAAAGCCCUUUUGUUGGGAAAGAAAAGCAGCAGGUUAAUACCCCGCUGUUCUGACGGUACCCAAAGAAUAAGCACCGGCUAACUUCGUG
This 492-nucleotide ribosomal RNA is filed under the name uncultured bacterium. RNAcentral's name for it is "partial 16S ribosomal RNA". It matches the Rfam family "Bacterial small subunit ribosomal RNA", at positions 29 to 507 of the family's 1533-position model. The record is from RNAcentral.